This 738-nucleotide unclassified non-coding RNA is filed under the name Bombus terrestris (buff-tailed bumblebee). RNAcentral describes it as "misc RNA ENSBTSG00005037926.1". The record is from RNAcentral. Lineage: Eukaryota; Metazoa; Arthropoda; Insecta; Hymenoptera; Apidae.
CGACUCGACGUUAAAUAAAAUCAAGAAAAAAGCGUUUCGAAAAUAUCGCUGCGACAUCGUAGGAAUCCUGUAACAGGGACAGGGAAUUCAGCUCAAAACCGGAUGCGCAUGGAAGGUGAGGCGUGUUUGCGAGUAAACACUUUUUCACUAGCAACACCAGACGACAAGGCAGAGCCACGGAAUGGCUCUCCGAGAUUAGAUAACAGUUGGAACGUUUUGUACAGUCGACUUACUCAAGCGAGCAACAUCCUCGAGACGCGACUAGGUCCACGGUUUCAGUAGAUGAAACGGUAUAAAAGAUGUUCGACGUUUAUGGCGUAAGCAAAUGCUCAUCGACGCGCACAAUGGACAUAAAGAAGCCGAGAGAAACGUUUAAACUCGGAUCAAUAAGCGGCAAGCAUCUUCGAGACAGAGUUUUGUCUAGCUCCCCAGCCAUACGCUUGGACGAGAAGCGAAGUCGCAAGAGAAUUCCGAACUGGCGAACUUUGCCAAAUGUAUGGAGGAUCGGUGAAAGCAUUUUUGAUCGAACCUCCAGGUUGCGAUGUAUUUUUAACCUUUUGUGGCAAUAUUUCGCAGUUGUAUUUUAAAUUUAUAACGUAUACUGCUGGCAAAAGUUAGGGAUCAAUCGACGUUUAAGCAAAGCUAGGCGAAUGUUUCUCUUUACGUUCUGCGAUAAAUAUAUCUAUCGAUUGCCAUAUACUUGUAUAUUUGAUAAUAUGAAGUUUAAAAAAGUGUAAU